This 2543-nucleotide long non-coding RNA is filed under the name Cinara cedri. The record is from RNAcentral. Lineage: Eukaryota; Metazoa; Arthropoda; Insecta; Hemiptera; Aphididae.
UUAAUAACGAUAAAAUACACAAAGUAGUAAAUAAAUAAAUUUAAAAAAAAAAAAAAAAAAACAUUCUAUACAAAAAUUUGACAAAAUUGGCAAAAACGUAUUCGCGGUUAAUUAUACAUAAUAAUAAUUAUAUUUAACACGUUUUGUACAAUAUAAUAGUAUAUAUAUAUAUAUAUAUAAUAAUAAUAAUAUAAUGUCACGGGGAGGUCAAAAAAUAUAGGUACACGAAUAUAUAAUAAUAAUAAUAAUUGAUAAAAAUAAUUAAAAAUUAUAUUAAAUAUUUAUAAUUAAUAAUAAUAUUAUUAUCACAGCUGAGAAUAUAAAAUGAAGUAAAUAUUAUUAUUUAUCAUUAUUUAACAUGACUAGAUCGCCUGACGGUUGAAUAUAAUAAUAUAGAUAAGUAUAGAAAAGAAAUUUUUUUUUUUUUUUUUUGUGGAAACCCAUACGCAAAUUAUUAUUCUUCGUAUUAUCUUACUGUAAUAUUAGUAGUAGUAGUAGUAGUAGUGGUAGUAGUGGAUACAACUGCUUACACAACGACAGUGAUGAUAAAAAAAUUCGUGAUUUUAUUAUUAUUAUUAUUAUUAUUAUACUUAUUUGAAAUUCGUACGGGGAAAAAAAUGAGAAAACAAACAAUAAAAAAAAGCGUUGGCAAUGUCGAAUUUUUAAUAAUAUUACGCUCGUGUCUGCAGUAGUGUGCGGUAUACAGUGGCGGAUCCACGGGGGCGACGGAGGCGUAUAUAACCCGCCCCCUCCCCCUAUCCCCAAACACCGCGAAAUACAGUAAGUACGUUUUAAUAAAAAUUUUAAUAAAAUUAUUUAAAAAAAAUACGUACUGAGAUUUAUUGUUGUAAUUACAUUUGUCCCCCCCACUCAAAAAAAAAACAAAAAAAAAACAAACAAAUUAUGAUCUGGAUCCGCCUCUGUAUCUGCACUUUAUUAUUUUUCGGCUUUCGGUUGCUGAACGCACACCGGAUGUCCGAAUAGACUCCGGGACGUUCAGAAAAGGGUACAUAUUAUUAUCAUCAUCAUUAUCAUCAGAGCGUGUCGUGUUUUUCGUGAUUUCGUCGGCGAUUCCCCGGGUGUAUCGAUGUCGUAUAGGUAUAUGUCAUACGAAUCUAUAUCAAACAGAAUUCGAGAGAAAAAAAAAACCCGUCUAGUCGUAUGAAUUAUCGUAAGCAUCUCGUAGUAUUUCUUUUUUCUUUUUUUUUUUUAGAACGAGCGCGCGACGAUAGCGCUUUUCACCUGUUUUUUCCCGACGUAUAGUACGAUUAAAAUAUCAAAUCAAAUCGAAAGUCGCAGUGGACACGAUUUAGUGCGAACGUGGUUUUUUCCGUUGUUUUUGACGUUAUUUUAAAACGAUAAUUAAAAAGUCAGCGAAAAACCUAACUUAACCUGAUAGGAGGAUAUUUGGUCAUGAGUGCGGGAUGGAGGGAUCAUCAUUUUUACCAUUUUUUUCCUAUCCGAUAGCGAAAUUAUUCGUGUACGCUUCAGCCUACUGCUUACAUUCUUCUAUCUGUAGCACCAAAUAUGUACAUAAUAAUUUAUGUAUAAAUUGCACGACCAAAAAUAAAACCAAAGUUUACAAAUAGAUGUUUGGCGAAUUAAUUAAAAAGUGUUGUAGAGGGACUGAAAUCUUACACCACUUAAAAACAUUAUCAGGGAAGGGGGGUUCAACACAUUUUGGAGAAUCUUAAGCCCUCCUACGUCCUCCUCCCUUAAUAUGCAUAACCUGAUCCGCGUUUGAAAAAUGUACACAAGUACAUUUAUAGUAUACUUACGCGUAUAGCAUUAAAACUUGUUUAAGUAAUGAUUAAAUUUGAAAAUAAAAAAAAACAACAAAUUGUUUGGAUUUUGAAGCAAUAAUAAUGUUAAUCAUUAUCAUCGUAUAGUUCCGAAUGUGCACCGGAUUUAACCCUUGUCCUUUAAUUUUCGUUCGAUUAUGGAUUUUCAUUGGCCGCCUAAGAAUCAGCCACCUACCAAAAUAACUGCGAAGAAACCAUAUGAUGUUUUCGAGACGAUUUACGAACUGCGGCGUUAAUUCGUUCAAAAGUCGACCGAUUUCGAAAUGUUUCUAUUAUUUUAUUAUGGUUAUUAUUUUUUUUCGUUUUCGAAAUCACGGUCGAAAAAAAUACGAGGCCACUAAUCGUAUAUUAAUAUUUUUUUUUAUUUUUUUUUUUAUUUUUUGAAACCUAUACUAAAAUCACGAAUUCACGAAUUAUCACGAAUUAUAUGGAAACAAAAUAAUGCGUUUACCGACUUUCCACAUAAUUAACAUACUCGCUCACUGUGUACGCACGCAAGUAAAAAAAAAAAAAAAUAAAAAUAAUAAUAAAAAGUCUCGAAACAAAACGCCGUCGUCGUCGCACGACAUCGACAAAAACAGAAAAAAAAAAAAAAAAAAACAAAAUCAUAAUAUUUUCCUCUUUCCGGAACAAUUAUUAUUUGUUUAUUUCCCUGUGGCGUAUUCUUAUAGGAUAAUGAUCGCGUAAUAAUUAUACAGAUGAGCCGGCACGCGAUAAUGUUUUUGACUAGAAAUCCGACGG